Molecule: long non-coding RNA, 804 nt
Filed under: Medicago truncatula (barrel medic)
Lineage: Eukaryota; Viridiplantae; Streptophyta; Magnoliopsida; Fabales; Fabaceae
Description: lncRNA gene34086
Source: RNAcentral
GUGAAGAGAGAGCUAAACCCAAGUUAGCUAAACCAUCUGCACAAGUGUUCCCUUCCCUAAAAAUACGACUAACAAUAAAAGCAUGUUGUUAGUAGCCUCCAUGCAGUUGUACAAUCUAUUUCUAAUGAUCCAAGGAACCAUAGAAGCAUCCUUGCAAGCCAGAAGCACUAAUUUGGAAUCAGUUUCGAGCCAUAGGUUCAUCCAAUGAUUAGCAACAGCUAGUUCAAUAGCAACAAUGACAGCAAAAAUUUCAGCAAAGAAAGCAGAAGUGCAAUUUGGGAUAUCUUGAGCAAAACAGCCAAUGCAAGCUCCCAUAGCGUCUCUAACUAUGCCUCCACAAGCAGCUUUAGCUGAAUUUUUUAUGUAGGCUCCAUCAGUGUUAAUCUUGAGCCAAUUGAAGAGAGGAGGGAUCCAUAAAACUUCAAUGAUGAGAGGAGCCUUUGGAGGGUGGAUGUUAAUGUUCAAAGCUUUAAGGAUUGCAAAAUUCGGUCAUGUUGACUGAAGAACAAAGUUUAGUAGUGUUCCCUGUCAUGGAAACAUUAGCAAUUAUAGUGAUGAUGGCUGAUUUCUAGUGAGUUUUUUUUAUCUUGGAAUCUAAUCAAGUUUCUAGCCCACCAAAUAAUAUUGAUCACACAAGCCUUGAUGGCUAACCUGCAUUGUGGGGUGUAAGAACUACCAAUCUUCCAUAAAUCUUCAAGAGAAGAGAAAUUAAAAUUGGUGUUAAGAAUGUUAACCAGCCAAGACCACAAAUGUCUAGCAAAGGGACAUUGGAGAAAUAUUUAUUGAUAUUAAGAUCCAGAUGCG